AUAGAUCGUAAAUUACUCGAUUGGUGCACGCGCAUUCGGGAUUUUUAAUACUAAUAAAUAUUCUCCGACGACGAAUCUAAAAAGUCACGGUAUCAAAUUUGCAGAGGCUACACCUAAAUCUGUAUUGAGGCUAAUGGGAUUGAAGGGAUUGCCUUUGUAUCACUUAAAGAGUCAUUUACAGAAAUAUAGACUUGGACAACAACAAGAAGCCAAAAAACAGAAUGUUCUUGAUCACAAUACAGAGAACAGUGUUCUUAUGGGCAUCAUAACAUGCGUAUCGCAAGCACGAGCGCUAAUUCAUCGAGCAUGAAUAGUGAACAAGGAGACAUUCCGAUUGCCGAAGCACUUAGGUGUCAGAUUGAAGUGCAGAAAACACUGCAACAACAGCUUGAGGUGCAGAAGAAAUUGCAA
Erythranthe guttata (spotted monkey flower) is the source of this 411-nucleotide non-coding RNA. The record is from RefSeq and is a predicted model, not a curated record. Lineage: Eukaryota; Viridiplantae; Streptophyta; Magnoliopsida; Lamiales; Phrymaceae.